This is a long non-coding RNA of Bubalus bubalis (water buffalo), 1258 nucleotides long. RefSeq lists it as uncharacterized. The transcript is spliced from 4 exons. Lineage: Eukaryota; Metazoa; Chordata; Mammalia; Artiodactyla; Bovidae. The record is from RefSeq and is a predicted model, not a curated record.
UCCACCUUGUCUACCGGCUUCAUGGUUUUCUCACUACAAAAAGUUUACUGAAUUAGACAGUCUGAAACAUUUUAAAAAAUUAUUUAAAAACAACACUGACAAAAUAUUAACAUAAAACACUCUAAUUCAACGUGGAAAUAAACCAAACCAAAAUGUUGACAGUGAAGAUUUAAUGGAGAGGCAGUUAGUAUCACACACUGAGGUUCAGUCUUAAGAUGUACAUAUUAAAAACCUUUCAUUUUAAAAUUUAUUUAUACAAUAUUACUUUUUUUUGUUCAAUAUACUUUGCUUAAAAAAGAUGGAGACAAAAAGAGUUCUCUGAGCUAUGAAAAAAAUUAAGUUCUUACACGCACGUUUAUGGUUUCAUUCUAGAAACGCCUCAGGUUCACAGGUUGAACAUUCAGCCGCUGUGUUAUUUAAAAAACAAAGCAUUCUUUGACAUUGGGAAAACCGGAUCUCUCUUUCUGGGGCAGAGUUCACUUGAUGAGGACCAUGUGGUUAUGCAAAUUACAGGGGAUUAUUCCAGAAAAUGUAUGCGCACCUGCGUCACAGGUGAGGCUUUCUUCCCUGGCCGCUCCUCUUGGCGAAGCUCCUCCUCCGAGGUCGGGUCCCUGGUGACAGAGCCGGAGAGGCAGGGGCCCGACAGGACAGAGGGAGACUGCUGGCGUCUCCCACCUGGAGAAGCAGGGUUCUAGGGACGGAGCUAGUGCGGAACAAGACUUAAGACCACCCUUUCCUCUUGAAUGGCACGAAUGGAACCUUGCUAUCACCAGGUGGCAACUCACAAUUUUGCAGGAAGAGAAGCCCAUAACCUAGACACAGGAGAAGCAGACAUCAUCUGUGGCAGAAGAAGCACAGCUGGUGGGAGAAGAGUCCUGAGAGACACACAGAGCUAGUCUUCCUUGCAAUCUGUGGACUCUCCAGUUGGAGCUCAUGAUCUUAGUUGCCUCAAGGCCUGUGGGAUCUUAGUUCCCCGACCAGGGGUCAAACCUACCAGUUAUAAAGCCCAUCUCCUGCGUUGGAAGGUGAAUUCUCAACCAUCAGGCCAUCAGAGAAGUCCCUCAAAUUAAAGACAUCUUAAUAAUUGCUGUCAAAAGUUCUCCCUACUCUGUUCAGUUCUAUUCACAGGAAACUUUCCACCAUCUUUGUUCUAAGGAAUUCCCUACUUGACAAAUUUCCUGUGACUGGACCUUGAGAGAAAACUGGUAUUCAUGACAGGGUGAUGUAUUCAUGUUAACUUAAAAGUUUGAAAGGCUUU